AGUUGGUCAGUGUUGGUCAGGCUGGUCUUAGAUGGUCAGCUGCUCUUAGAUGGUCAGUGUUGUUCAGGCUGGUCUUAGAUGGUCAGUGUUGUUCAGGCUGGUCUUAGAUGGUCAGUGUUGGUCAGGCUGGGCUUAGAUGGUCAGGCUGGUGUUAGAUGUUCAGUGUUGGUCAGACUGGGCUUAGAUGGUCAAUGUUGGUCAGGCUGGGCUUAGAUGGUCAGUGUUGACCAGGCUGGGCUUAGAUGGUCAGGCUGGUCUUAGAUGGUCAGUGUUGGUCAGGCUGGUCUUAGAUCGUCAGAGUUGGUCAGGCUGGGCUUAGAUGGUCAGGCUCGUCUUAGAUGGUCAGUGUUGUUCAGGCUGGUCUUAGAUCGUCAGAGUUGGUCAGGCUGGUCUUAGAUGGUCAGUGUUGUUCAGGCUGGUCUUAGAUGGUCAGUGUUGUUCAGGCUGGGCUUAGAUGGUCAGGCUGGUCUUAGAUGGUCAGAGUUGGUCAGGCUGGUCUUAGAUGGUCAGUGUUGUUCAGGCUGGGCUUAGAUGGUCAGGCUGUUUUUAGAUGGUCAGUGUUGGUCAGGCUGGUCUUAGCUGGUCAUAGCUAACCAGACUUAACUGCUGAUGUUGGCUGGGUAACAUAUAGACCAGUUCAUUGUAUUUUAAAAAAAAUGCUAAAGAAUCACUGAUUGAUCUGAUUGACAGUCUGUUUGAUUAACUGAUCACAUGAUGUCUUUUAUUUUUCCUGUCACUUGGUGUUGCGAAGUAUACUUUAAAUAAUGUUCAGGAGCACAAGCAACCUUUCAAACAAUAUGUUCUUUAUUUGUUCUUGCGGCCUCUUCAAAAAGAACAAAAAACAUGCAACCCUGAUGUUUGCUCUAAAAACUAUGUACAAAAUAAUUAACUGGCAU
Long non-coding RNA from Ictalurus punctatus (channel catfish), 896 nucleotides. NCBI's taxonomy places the organism in Eukaryota, Metazoa, Chordata, Actinopteri, Siluriformes, Ictaluridae. The record is from Ensembl.